CUUCAAAUCCUCCUUCUGCUCCAGGACUUUCUGCCAAAAGAGCAGAUGAGGAUUAUUACUAUGUGCCUGCCUCUCUCUCUCGCUUGAUCCCCACCCCCGAGUCUUCAGGGGUGGGAGAAGGGGUUGGGCCGGGAGAGCAGGCAGAGCAGUUUCUUACUGAACAUCGCCACCGCCAAAGCAGCGAGAGAAAAAAGUUGCCGGGGAGCCGCGGCUGCACCCAGCGCGGCUGCAGCUGGGCUUUGGAGCUCCCCCCUCGCGGGGUCCCGCCACAACAAGCUGCGGAGCGGCGGGACGACGCAAACAAUGCUGGCAGGGGAUGCCCGAUGGCUGCGCUGGCCGGGGAGCGGGAAGACAAGUAGAGGCAGCAAGCGUUCCUUGGUUGUUUCUGUACCAUUAAGUGGGUGCUCUACAAUGAACAUCACAAUUGAUGUGAUUAGCUAUCGACAGCCACAGGUAGGAUACACUAUAAAUAGAUGCUAUCUACUUUUUUGGUAGAAAUGAAAAUAUCAAGUUUAAACAUGUAAUCCAGCUGUGGACUGCACUUCUUACUUGCAAGAGAUGUCUUGAUUUCAGGGACCAGCAUAAUAUUGUAAACAUGUUUGUCGAGCACACAAUAUGUAAGUAUAGGUUCAACUUUUAAUUUCUUGGAUUCCUACUCUUUUUCAUUUUAAAAGUAUACUUGACCAGUUUAUCUAGUCAUCAGAUUUCUGAGAUGUUUACAACUCUUACCACUUCUUAACAAAAUUUGCUUGUAUAGGGAAAGCUUCAGAACUAUGUAAGCUAGUGAGGAAGUGCUCAGCUUUAAUUUUUGUUCUGAAGGAGUACUAAAGUUUUCUCAUUUCAAAGUUAAUCUAAUUUUUUUCAUCUUGUUUUACUCUCUUUGACUUAGAAGCGUCCUGUAACAGAAGCUUUCUCCAACUCUGAUUUUAAACACACAAAUGCUACCACCCACAUCACCACCUUACUCCCCAACCUAUGAUCCUGAAAGAAAUCUGGAGAACAAAAAAAAACAUUUAAAAGAGGAUCCAAUGUGAUCCUCAAGCCAAGUUACACUGAUUUGUUUGUUUGUUUUUAAUCCUACUCUACUGCUGAUAUAAUGGUGGUAUUAUAGUGUCCUGCAUCUCAAAGUCAUAAGAUGCUUCCUGUUACUUUCUUGAUAGGCUGAUGGGAUCAUGGCUCUCAAACUCUUUUCUGAUACUUCCAGAGGAAUGUAGGAGGUUUCAUUGCUACUCCCCUCCCUCCCGAGGCAUUUCAGGCUCUACUACUCUUUUUUACUCCUAAAAGAGUGGUCGCUAUUUUACUAUAAUGCUGUGAGACCAUGGAGUCAUUGCCUUUGGCUCCCUGAUAUCUCAUUGUGCUUAUGACUUUCUGGACCACUACAGCUUGUUUAUCAUGUUCCUGUUCUCUCCCAGAAGCUCAGAGAAAUCAACAGAUCAGAUAAAAAACAGUGAGAACCUGAUUUGGUAUUCAUAAGCCCUCUGUUUUGCUCUUGUCUACUUUAUCAUUCAGUCAUAUCCAAUCUUGAGAGUUCUGCCUUGAAGGAUAGUAUAGGCAUCCACUACUGGAUUAUUCUCUCUUCUUUAUCCUACUGCUUCUGAAAACUCUUACUCUGGAUUCUUAUCUCCCUACCUUUUUAGAAGUUCCUAACCCAUUUUGGAAGCUCUUUUUAGCCUAACACAAGAGAGAGAUUACUGAAAGGCAGAUGAUUCUCAGCUGUCACAAAACUCAAGAUAAGGUUUUUGUUUGUUUUUACAGUUCAGUAUUGCUAAACCAUGCCAUGUUACAAUUCUAUUUUUUUACAUAGAGAGAUGUGUAAUCAAUCUUGUUUCUCUCUGACCAUUGUCACAGCAAUGUAGGUGACCACCUCUGACAUGAAGCACAUGCAUUGGCAUUUUUGGGAAGGGUUGCAAUCAGGAUGAUUACUUACCAUGUAAUGUAACAUCAUUGUGGAAAGGAAUUGGGUUUUCUACUAAAGGAGUCUGCUCCUCACACCCUUUGGGCUUUGAUCUGCGCAGCUUUGCCUCAGGAUUUGGCUGUACCAUCAAGGGAUCAAGACGUUUCUUCCUCUGCUUCUUCUCCAGAAGAGCUCUCUGUGAAAUAAAGAAAGAAUAUGAAAUAGGGAUGAGUAACCACAUCCAGAGAGGCAGAAAGCAUACUUCAGAUAUUGGCAAAGGCAUGUUACUAACCAAGAUCACUGAUCAACCUGGAAUGCUCUGAUCUGACAGAAAUCCUAGACACAGAUAUCACAUUGUCUUUGGAGUGAGACACUGCCUUUGAUUCUCCAUCAGUGGUAGAUGGGGAUGAGGACACUUCCUCAUUUUCUGGUCUAUCCUGAGGCCAUCAGCAAAUAAUUUUAACUCCUUUUAUUCAGUCUAAACUGCACUAAUCCAUAAUAUAAAUAGAAAUAAAUUCAGUAGUCAUUUAGAAUCCAAUACAAACAUUUCACAAAGUAAAUUUUACAAUAUACAUGUCCUUCUUAUUUUAUUACUCUAUGCAUCAUACUUAUUUAAGCUGAUAGAGCAGAUAAAACAGCUCACAAGGACUAUCCAUUCUUUCCACUGCAGUUAUGAUUGGACUAAACAUUCUGUCUUUUAGGACAAUAACUUCUGGUGCCUUUAGGGAAUGGAUAAUUUUUCCUCACUGUUCAGUACAAUUGAACAAACUUCAUAUUAAGACAAAUAUGUUUAUUAUAUUGCUAUAGUUUGAUCUCCAAGAUUAUCAGGAAAUGCCAGAGUAAAGAUGACAGUCUUUGUCCCAUGCAUUACAUGGCAAUAGAGACUUAUACUACUAGCACAUACCAUUUCUUUAACCAGGGCUCAUUCAUUCAGUUGAUUCUGCUGCUGCAGUUAUGAAUGCCUUCAUAAUAUAGCAAAAGCAAGUCAAGAUUUGCAAAGGAAGCAGGUUUUAUGACAAAAGCUGUCACCUGAUAGGGAGAACUCACAACAGACAGCUCUCAGAAACUGGUUCUCUGAGAUAAGACAUAGAAGUAGAGGUAAAAUAAGUAAAUUAAAAGGAAAAGAAGAAAACAGAUAAUUCAGUCAUUAAUAUUGGACUGAUUCAGUGAUAGGAAAUCUGAUCUACCUCGCAAACUUUUCUCAUGUAAUUUAGGACUGAAAGGAAAGAACUGUAAAUCCAAAUGUUAGUGUUAAAAAUGAAACAAUACUUUUCCAACAUGCAUAUAGAUUUGAUGUUCAUGAUUUCCUAGUAAAUGAAAAUAGAAACAACCUCUAAAUGUAAAUCAAGGUAAAUGGGCACAUCAUAUCAUUUUAAAGACAGCCAUGCUUAAUUCUUAUAACUUUUAAGGUGCAUGAAGGAGAGGGGAGAAUCAUAUUCCAAUAUUCUGCAAUGCACCACUAUGCCAACCAACAUGCAAGUCCCUCGCUGUAGGUGUGGUUUAUCCAUGCCUGCUUAUUAGACACCUUAACAACAUCCUGAAUGUUCUUCAGGAUGAUAAAAACUUUUUCUCCAACAAAUUCUUCUCAGUCUCCAAGUAUCAAUCAGAUAAAUAGCACCGAGAACUCAAUCCACUUGAGACAAAUGUCUUUAGAGCCCUUUCCUCUCCUGUUAGGCUUUUUCUCUCUCCCAUUGGUUCUUUCCUCUCUUGUUAGGCUUUUUAUCUCAAGCAAUAGCAGCUUCUCAGCGAACCUCUCCCUCAGGAACUCCGAAACAACUCAAUUCUUGAUCCUCCUUUACUCUUUCUAAUUUUAAAGUAAUUUUCUCCAAAACAAUAAUUUUUUUAAAAGCAUGAUUACAUUUGAAGACUAGACUGCAAUAUGUUUAUUUUCAUAAUGAUGCUCAUGAGAGUGAUGCUACCUGACACAGUUUGUUGUUGCAAAUGCUCAUCACAAAUCAAAUUUGUUCUCUAGAAAGAUAGUCAGGCCCUUUAGGAGAAUUUCAGUCUUUUUUUAUUAUAUUUUAAUGCUAACUGAAAAGUAAAAAAUUCCAGAAUAUUUAAUAAAUUUCUAGUAGUGGAAAUAAAAGGAGAGGGGGAAACAAGAAUCAAAACAUUAUACUCAGAAUAAGAAUCUGAGAAAAACUGUUGCCGAGGCUUCUCUACCUGGCGAAUGGACAGACAAGAAGGAAGAGAUACAUAUCCUAAAGGCAGUAAGAAAGUGCAUAGCUACUGUUAGAACUGGAAAUCAAAAUUUGGGUCAACAUAGAAAAAAUAGUUUUAAAGAACUACUUUCCUAAUUAUUAGAUCAGAUUUUUGAAACAUUUUAUUGCUCACUGGUCUAGUAAUUUACUUUUUCUUAUUCUGGUACAUUCUGUUUCGUCAAAGAAAUUCCAGGACUCUCUUUAAGAAAAAAUAGGCUUUGGGUAAUAGGAUCAUAUUAAAACAUAUACUUUAUUCUUGGUAGAUGAGACUGACCUUCAUUUAGGAAGAGCUUCAGGAUAACCAAAGGGGUAAAACAUGAUAGUUAUUUCAUUUGUUUAGAAAGGUUUCUCUCUACUACUUUGCUUGUUUGAGACGUAGAAAAUCUGCUAGCCCACUGACAGGAUGGCUGGUAGCAGUUCAUUCUGUCUACACAUGGUGGCAUAGCGGCUUUACCUUCAGAAUUGUGUGUUCUUUUGAAACUUACUCCACUAAGAUGGAAUCAAAAAAACACCAAACCAAAACAAACCCCCCCACCAAACUGUAUUUCGUUUCCUUUUGUUUACUAACCAGGCUUUUCCUCCAGCUCUGUAUUACAUUAAAAAUUCAUAUGGUAUUACAAUUAAAAAAUUCAGAUAGUUCAGGGAUAGGGCACAGGAACAUGUAAUCCAUUAAAUAAAUAACAGAUACUGAGUGUCAUGAUUCAUUUUGUGAACUCCGUGUAUUAAGACUUCUUCAAAAACAUUUUCCCUGCACCACAGAGAAAACCAUAACAUCAGAAUACAAGAUGUUUAAAUGGUCGGAUUUUAAUAAACUCAGAUCAACAACACUGGUUCUAAUGAAUUUACAUGAGGAUGAAAAUACCACAGCAGACUAAUAAGACAGCUAGUUUGGUAUUCUUUGUACAACUGUGAUCAACAGUAAGAUGGUACACAGGAAGGCUCCAACCCCUGCACCACUGAGGGUGCAGUAUCAUGGCAUGGUCCUACCUCAGUAGGCCAUGCGUGCUGGAUCCUAGCUCUGAAACCUUUUCACUACUCUUCCAGCUCCUCCUGUACCCCAAGUUAAUACUGAGGCAGCAAUGAUAAUGCCAGUGAUGAUAGCAUUAAUGAAAGUUACUGCCAUAAGUAAGUGCCACACUAGCGGCAUUCAGAAAUAUGCCAUCAGCUUCACCCUCUCCACCCAUGUGGACAUGGCAGCAGUGCAGUUUGGGCUCCAGAUGCCUUACAAGGCACAGGGAAACUGGUUCUGCUGCAGAGGAAGAAAGCACUGCCUGCCUGAGCAGCCGCCCACUUUCUCCUCCAAGGAAAAGGCAGUAGGCUAAACAAAAGCAUCCUGGCGGACAGAUCUGGCCCACAGAUGGAACUUCAUGUUAUACAUUAUUAUAAAUAAUAUUUUACAUUAGUUUUUAAACCCAUCAAAAACACGGAUGACAGACAGACAUCUUUGUUGUGGCAAAUGCUUAUUCCAGAUUCUCAGUGUGGUCAAAGGUUCUAAACAUGAUGAUGCUGGAUUAAAACAUUUUGCAACUUUUAUCCCAGUUCCUAUAAAUGUUUAAGAAAAUUCAAUUAAGUGGGGCAUUAGCUACGACCAGCAAUUAGUCCAUCAUGGGGCCUGCUAGCGAUCUGCUAUUGACCUCUGUAUUUCUUCAGAAGGCAUGGUAUUAUUCAAGUUAAAAGUAGACUCGCAAAGUUAACAUUCAAACCUAAAUAUACAGUCACAAAUGAGAGACUGUUAGCAUUUCUUGCCAAAUCUCAUUUGCAAUGUGUGUACAUAGAGGGAACAGGAUGGGUUUAAAAUAUGUUUUUAGUGCAAGUUUCUAGCCAUCAUUUUUGCAAGUGGUUGCAAACAACCAAAUCUAAAAAGCCUGAAACAAAACUGCAGAACGGUAUGAAUUCUUUAAACUCACCUUUUUAUGGUGCAGCUCCAAGGGAAUUCCACCCAGCCCAGCAGCUGUCUUGGUGGAAAAGUGAUGCAUUUCCAUGACAAGGUCUGAAACUGGGCACACAUCUGACCACAGUACCUAGCACUAAGAGCCUGUGGUUGCUCAUGACCCAAGACACCAAUCCUGAAAAUGACAGCCAUGUUCCAUCACCAAGCACUCUGAACAGUAUGAGAGUAUGGUGAUCUAAGCAUCCAGCAAACAGCACCCAGCUGCUUUAGAAACAGAAGCACUUUACCUAAUACAUGCUAAACGCUUGGCUGUAAAUUUAUUCUUAGAGAGAAAAAACAAAAGGCAGAAAGAUGUUGGAAAUCUGUCUCAACAGCAGUGUUAAGCAAAUCUUUUUAUAGCUCAAGGAACAUUUUUCUUUGAUGUUUAAACUGGAUAAUUCCCUACAAAGAGUUUCCUCCCUUUUCACUGAUUCCUGCCUUGUGGUGACUCAAUCCCAAUGAAAUGAGUAAAAGUUUCUGUAUGAAGCAUAAAUGUAUCAAAGAAAUCAAGCCUAUCAACCAUGGCAAGGAUGAUUUUCAAACUAACAAAAGCCAGGAAAAUCUUUAAGGAGAAGUGUUAGGAAUCAGUUCUGUUUAUAUUCCUUCGACCAAGCAUUUUUAAUCACAUCAUCCCCAAUUCUCAAGUCUCCAAGAUUGAUUCUGAAUUCACAUACAGCCUUACAUAUGACAGAAUGGAGGCUGGAUUCACUGCUGCCACACAUCUUAUGUAGCUCUAGGUAAAACAUUACAAAAUGGAUGACAACAACAGGUAAGGCUAUCAUGAGGAAAAAUGGGGCAGAAAGGAGAGGGAGUACAAACAAUUUCAUCUCCUCCCUACUGAGGAGGGGGAGAUGGCUAAUGUUUGUUUUCUUAUACAGAUUCUUGCCAGCUUCUGCACUACCAUUUACCUGAUUUUCUAGUUUCAGUUGUCGUAGUUUCAUGCUUUCAUCCUCAAAGAUGCUGGGAAAUGGAAAGAAACAAAUAAUUAUUGUUAGUAGAUAGUUUGCAUUAUAAGAGUGUACAAUAUUUAUAGACUACAACCUCACCAUCAAGAUUUUAAAACAACUGUGAGACAUAGUAUCUAUCUCAUAGGGAGAUCAAGUUACAAAGAUUUGAAGAAUAAAACAAACAUACUUCAUAUUCAGUGAUAAAUAGGACCAAACCGUGAUUUAAUCACCUUAGUAAACUGUUCGGAAAACAUUUUGUGAGCAAGAAAAAAAAAAAAAAAGUUUCACUGUUGAUGGGUGGAUUAUGAACCAGUAGGUAGGUGGGCUAUGAGACAAUUUACAUCUGAAGACUUAACACAGCUCAAAGUAAUUCACUAAAAUCCCUGUUCCUUCAUAAAAUACCCAAUUCCAAACUAACUCAGAAUUUGAGGGUUCCUCUUGGGUCAACCAUACACCAAUUUUUCCUCCCACCAGACUUGCCAAAAUUACUGUUAAUAACCUGAGAGAAUCUCUGUUUACACAACCUGAUACCAAUUCUCACAUAUGGAAAAAAAAUAAUUAUUUCAUUAUUUAAGCGUUUUACAGCUAACUUUCACAACAGCUCUAGUUUUUGAUCCUGAGUCAUAUUCCAUAUAGACUUCCCACUUCCUUUUUUAUGAUAAGGAAGCACUACAUAAAGAGCAAUUUAGAGCAGCUAACCCUAGAAGAUACUUUGCAACAGUGACCAGUGAUGUGAUGUCACAAGCUGGCAGAUGUUGGUGGAUAUAACCCCAACAUGGAAAACAGUAGAGAGAGGGAGGGAGAGAGGGAGGUAGCAGGGGUGCAGUUUUUACAAAACACAUGACAUGGAGCAUGGAUCACAGCAUAUAGCGCUAAUAGGAGAAGAAAGGGCCCAGAGUCCCCUUAAUCCCUACUAAAUCUGUAUCUGACUUAACUUCCAGUCAACUAAGCAAACGGACACAGCAACAGCUCCAAGUUUCUUAAUGGCAGAUUACCCUGUACAACAUGGGCCCUGUCCUGGAACGCUGAAAUGUGCAGCUCUGGAGUUGCUGAUCAGAGCAAAAAUUUCUUAUUAGCAUGUUGUAAGUAACACUUUAAAUACUCGAAAAUUGAUGCUAACUGCCCAACUAAUGGUAUUCUAAAGGGAGAUCACAACCACCAUUGGUUUUUACAUUGCAAUUUUCCUCAUUUCUAGAUUUUUUUUCUAAUAUUUUUAAAGUAUCAAAUAAGAGGUCUAAAAACUUGAAAGCACCUCAGUUUUAAAAACUGACUUUAUUCCCCAAUGGGCCAGUAAUAGGUAGCACCUGGGAUUCAAAGGCAAAGGAGGGCCUGGAAAAAAAUGAUGCCUUUCUUGAAUACUGACAGAGAGCUAGUGAGUGUCCUUGCAGCUACAGUUAUAGUGAUAUGCUUGUCUGUCUCAAAAGAGUCCAUUGUUUAAACAGGGAAUACACAGAGACAUUUCUAGUGAGUACAGAAAGAUAAACAUUGUGAAACUUGAACAUAAGGUUAAAAUGUGAAAUGCUCUUUAUAUAAAGCAGAAAUGAUGGAAAAGGAUACUUCUGGCAUAAUCAGAAAUAAUGCUUGACAGUUUCAGUUAAGCUAUUCAGGACAAAAAAAAAGACAAGGCAGUGCGGACUUAAGAAAUGGAUAAUAUUUUUUAACUGCUAUCAAAAGUUUGUUCUAAAGUGAUAUACCUAGCAUGCAUCAAUAUUAGAUUAUGGACACAUUCUCAUGUAAUUAAAAAGAACCACAAGGUUGCACUCUGCAGAUACAAACUAGCUUCUGUAUUUCUGUUACUUUUCCUCUAGCAAGAGCUAAUACACCCUCAGAAUCUUUUCCUCUCUCCUUAAGAGAAAAGGAAAAAAAAAUCCAACCAUUUUUGGAAAUAAGGUUGCAGAUUUUCCUUUUUACCUAGAAGAUGACAAAAUAUUAACAUGUGGAAUAUUAACACUCACAUAUAAGACUUGCAGAUAUCCCCAGUGAAAAUUGAAAUGCUUGUCAUGCAUUUUAAAAUUAUUUUCUACGUGCACUGGAAUAAAGUUAUAUAACUUCAAAGAUAGGUCCGAAGACUGUAGGAACAAGACCAUAAUGCAGAUUACAUAAUGCCUCACUUUUAACCACAUAAUUGAGACUCAAAAGUGGUUAAAAAAUAUAGAAAGACUAACAGGUCACAAUGUUUCCAUAUUGGUCCAGCAAAGGUCACAAAACUUUUUGAAGACAAGCAGAAUCUGAAUUUUCUUUACACACAAAAAGUGACUGCACAGUGAAUGGAGAUUCCCAUUCUCCCUUGAAAAAAUAGAAAGGGGAGACAGAAGCAAAAAACUCUUGAAAACUUUUCAGAGAAAAGACGGCAUUCUCCUUUACAAUUUACUGUUAAACACAGACUAAAAACAUUUCCUAGCAUGCCACAAAGUGAAAGAAGCCAUAAAUCCCUCCGUGUACUACAAGGAUCUACAUAAGGAACAAAAUAAGAAAAAGUAAAACCAUGGGCACUGUGACAAUCUAAAUCGUAACUAAAAAAAAUUAAAAAAAUAAAAAUAAAUCACACUAUUUUCGUUUACUCCUCCUGCAACCUUCCUUCUAGCACUUUGUCAUCAGCAAAGUAACAUGAUAGCCAAAGGAGCUUUCUUCCCCCCCACACUUCAAACUUUUUCUGCCUGCCACAGUGAAGCUGGUGUUGUUACUAACCUUCCAGAAAAAGGCUUUGCAAGAGGCACUCCUACAGCUCAUCGGCAAAGAAUGCUCAUCGGCAAAGAAUGCAAGCACAGCUGCUGGCUACAGCAAGAAUCCUCCUGCGGAGGGACUACGCAGAACAGCGCAUCUGAGCGCUCUUUGAUCAUGCCUCCAUAAAACCACAAUGCUGUUCACUAUGCUCUUUUCUGUUUGCUGGAUUUACAUGCAGGAAGAGGGGUUAAAUAUUCACUGGGAUCAGAGAAAAAUAGCAUUUCCACAGAUACAACAAUAUAGUCGAGGUGGGGCUGGAACAGUCCAUUUACCCUCGAUAAAUAUGAACUGAAAGAAUUCAAGUAACAUAUCUCGAUUUUGCUCUUCUCACCUGCUGUAGCAGAGAAUAGACUAUCCAACAUCUCAGCCACCAAUUCCUUUGCUAUGCUUAGCCGAAUCCACUACCUCUCCCAUGGCACAUGCAGCAGAAAAAGAAAGCCACCCAAAGAAUAACAUAGCAGUGAAGACUAAUGAUUACCCAGCAUACAGAAUAAAAAUGGAGUGGGAAGGCAACUGUUUAAUCAAAAUUUUUCUCUUUUAAAAAACCCUUCUUUUUUAAAAAAAGAGAAGAUACAAAAACCUGUUUGAAUACCAAAUAAAAUAGUGAGAUAGUGGCAUUCCAGAUCCAUUCCUCACUACCUUUCCAAGUUCGAAACAGUCCAAGAUUAAGUGAAAUGCUUUUUUUUUUUUUUUUUUAAACUGAUAGCACCUCAGAUUCCUGCUGAAAUCCUAAUUAGCCCGGUUUUCAUAUCAUAAGCAGAAAGUGAAGUGUUGCAAUAGGAAUACGAAUGACAAACUUGUUAACUAUAGAUGAAAUAACUUGAAUUUAUUUGGUCUUUCCUAACCAUCUUCAGAACACCAAACUAACUGCGAUGAAGAGAUAACUCAAAUCAUUUAAUAGACAUUCACAUAUAAUUAGGAGUCCAUUCUUAUGCAGUUUGUAUGCUUUUCAUUAUUGUAAAAAAGGCACAGUAUACCUAUUGCUAGCUCUUUUAGAUGUGAUGUAUGACUUUUUUUAAGAGAAGUUUUGUAUUUAGAAACUAUGUUGUAAAGUGUAAGUGUAGAUGGGCAGAGUUAACAUGUUUUCCUUCCAACUUUAUGUUCCUGAAUAUAUUAGACUUGAAAAACCAAGAGUUAUAAUCUAAGCACUUGGGAAUAAUUAGGCACAGGAGCAUUAAAUCAACCAAAUACAAAAUCACAGUAUGAUGUCAUUCUGUGAAUAAUUAAAUAGCCUGACAUUAAAACAGGAGAACAGAAAAUGCAGGGCAGGAAGAAUGGAAAGUCAGUGAGAAUGGGAAAACCAUUUCCAGCCUGAGGGCCACACAACAGAAAGGAGUCCAAAGAACUGGAAUGACUUCAACAGAAAGCAGAAAAAAUUGACUGAGGACUGGAAAUUCCAUGGAUAUGAAGCCAGAAAUGACUAUUCAAAUGAGCAGAAGACAACAAAAUCCAGUCACAGGAAGCUGAAGUUAAACAAAUUCAGACUGCAAAUAAAGGUUAUAUUUAACACUGUGGCUAAUUAACCAUUGGAAUACCUCAUGGAGCUGUGGAUUUGCAACAGAAAACAGUACCCUUUAAUCAUGGCUGAAUAUUAUUAUCCUAAAAACUGCUAUCACAAAGUAACACUAUGAUUUACCUUAGAUUAUAGGUGUGGUUAUCCCAGAUGGAAGUGCAAAACACUCUUUUUUCAGGUUAUAUCAAGGGAUCAAUUAAGUUCACUUUUGUAUGCUGACUGUUGAAGCCAAGAGGCAAAUAAACAGCUGCUUUCAUUGGGAACUGAUUCGGUAAAAAACUGCCUGCCUGCAGCUGUGAGUGAGAGGCAGCAAGCCAGAGGAAGUGAGAAAAGCCAUUGGAAGAGCAGCCUUUAGAGAGAAAAUGCUCUACAUGAUUGAGAUUUCACUGGAAAAACAGGUUUGAAAUACAUUAAACAAUGGAAAAUGUG
Dromaius novaehollandiae (emu) is the source of this 11638-nucleotide long non-coding RNA. RefSeq lists it as uncharacterized. The record is from RefSeq and is a predicted model, not a curated record. Lineage: Eukaryota; Metazoa; Chordata; Aves; Casuariiformes; Dromaiidae. The transcript has 2 exons.